RNAcentral lists this ribosomal RNA (461 nucleotides) under uncultured bacterium. RNAcentral's name for it is "bacterial SSU rRNA". It matches the Rfam family "Bacterial small subunit ribosomal RNA", at positions 34 to 507 of the family's 1533-position model. The record is from RNAcentral.
CGCUGGCGGCGUGCCUAACACAUGCAAGUCGAGCGGAGACAGUGAGUAGCUUGCUAUGAGCUGUUUUAGCGGCGGACGGGUGAGUAACGCGUGAGCAACCUUUCCCAGACAGGGGAAUAACACACCGAAAGGUGUACUAAUACCGCAUAAGACCACGGGAUCACAUGGUUCUGGGGUAAAAGCUUUUGCGCUGAAGGAUGGGCUCGCGUCUGAUUAGAUAGUUGGUGGGGUAAUGGCCUACCAAGUCGACGAUCAGUAGCCGGACUGAGAGGUUGAACGGCCACAUUGGGACUGAGACACGGCCCAGACUCCUACGGGAGGCAGCAGUGGGGGAUAUUGGACAAUGGGGGCAACCCUGAUCCAGCGACGCCGCGUGAGGGAAGAAGGUUUUCGGAUUGUAAACCUCUGUUGACGGAGAAAAAAUGAUGGUAUCCGUUUAGAAAGCCACGGCUAACUACGUG